RNAcentral lists this ribosomal RNA (467 nucleotides) under uncultured bacterium. RNAcentral describes it as "partial 16S ribosomal RNA". It matches the Rfam family "Bacterial small subunit ribosomal RNA", at positions 28 to 506 of the family's 1533-position model. The record is from RNAcentral.
GACGAACGCUGGCGGCGUGCUUAACACAUGCAAGUCGAACGGAAAGGCCCUGCUUUUGUGGGGUGCUCGAGUGGCGAACGGGUGAGUAACACGUGAGUAACCUGCCCUUGACUUUGGGAUAACUUCAGGAAACUGGGGCUAAUACCGGAUAGGAGCUCCUGCGGCAUGGGGGGGGUUGGAAAGUUUCGGCGGUUGGGGAUGGACUCGCGGGUUAUCAGCGUGUUGGGGGGGUAGUGGAUUACCAAGGCCUUGACGGGUAGCCGGCCUGAGAGGGUGACCGGCCACAUUGGGACUGAGGUACGGCCCAGACUCCUACGGGAGGCAGCAGUGGGGAAUAUUGCACAAUGGGCGGAAGCCUGAUGCAGCAACGCCGCGUGCGGGAUGACGGCCUUCGGGUUGUAAACCGCUUUCGCCUGUGACGAAGCGUGAGGGACGGUAAUGGGUAAAGAAGCACCGGCUAACUACGU